Non-coding RNA from Chelmon rostratus (copperband butterflyfish), 677 nucleotides. The record is from the annotation of a RefSeq genome assembly. Lineage: Eukaryota; Metazoa; Chordata; Actinopteri; Chaetodontiformes; Chaetodontidae.
GACAGCAAACCCACAGUCUCUGUACAAAAACACAAGCUGACACACUGACGAGCUGCUGGAAGCCUUUUUUCCACACUGUUCCACUCAACUUUUUACCUCCACUAGAGGGCCACAUUAUCAAGCAGGCGCUGCACUACUUCUGCACUGUGUUCAACCAUCUGUCAAUAAUAACUGCUGCUGUGAAGAGAACCAUUCUCACUCUGAAUGCUGAACAUCAGCUACUUUCUCCUCUUCAUUUCAGCCUCGUUGUACACAUGGAACAUUGGCUGUGGAUUAUUCUUGCUGCUCUUUGCUUUGAGUGUAAAGGAGAAGACAGAGUGAUCCAGCCAACAGCAGAUGUCAUUGCUACUGAAGGAGACACAGUUACGCUGGACUGUACAUUUGAGACCAGUUACCCAAGUCCAUCUUUGUUCUGGUACAAACAAGAAGAAAAUGGUUUCCCAAAGUACAUGUUGAAACGUUUCUCAACAACAGCAGAAAAUGCUGCAGAGUUCCAGAAAGACAGAUUUGAUGCUGCAAUCAAGAAUAAGUCAGUUCCUCUGAAGAUCCAGAAGCUUCAGCUGUCUGACUCUGCUGUGUACUACUGUGCUCUGCAGCCCACAGUGACAGGAAACAGCAAAACUCUGCACAAAAACCUCUGCAGCAAACACAACACAAUACUCCACAACGUCCACUAG